AGAGUUUGAUCCUGGCUCAGGACGAACGCUGGCGGCGUGCCUAACACAUGCAAGUCGAACGGAACUUUUUUAAUUGAUUUCUUCGGAAUGAUUUUGAUUAAGUUUAGUGGCGGACGGGUGAGUAACGCGUGAGUAACCUGCCUCUGAGAGGGGAAUAACAUUCUGAAAAGAAUGCUAAUACCGCAUAACAUAUAUUUAUCGCAUGGUAGAUAUAUCAAAGAUUUAUCGCUCAGAGAUGGACUCGCGUCCGAUUAGUUAGUUGGUGAGGUAACGGCUCACCAAGACCACGAUCGGUAGCCGGACUGAGAGGUUGAACGGCCACAUUGGGACUGAGACACGGCCCAGACUCCUACGGGAGGCAGCAGUGGGGGAUAUUGCGCAAUGGGGGCAACCCUGACGCAGCAACGCCGCGUGAAGGAUGAAGGUCUUCGGAUUGUAAACUUCUUUUAUUAAGGACGAAUAAAGUGACGGUACUUAAUGAAUAAGCUCCGGCUAACUACGUGCCAGCAGCCGCGGUAAUACGUAGGGAGCAAGCGUUGUCCGGAUUUACUGGGUGUAAAGGGUGCGUAGGCGGCUUUGCAAGUCAGAUGUGAAAUCUAUGGGCUCAACCCAUAGCCUGCAUUUGAAACUGUAGAGCUUGAGUGAAGUAGAGGCAGGCGGAAUUCCCCGUGUAGCGGUGAAAUGCGUAGAGAUGGGGAGGAACACCAGUGGCGAAAGGCGGCCUGCUGGGCUUCAACUGACAUUGAGGCUCGAAAGUGUGGGUAUCAAACAGGAUUAGAUACCCUGGUAGUCCACACGGUAAACGAUGAAUACUCGCUGUUUGCGAUAUACGGCAAGCGGCCAAGCGAAAGCGUUAAGUAUUCCACCUGGGGAGUACGCCGGCACGGUGAAACUCAAGGAAUUGACGGGGCCCGCACAGCGAGGAACAUGUGGUUUAUUCGAUGAUACGCGAGACUACCGGGCUAAUGCAGAAUGAAUACGUGAAGCGUAGCCGCAGCAUCUGUGAGGUGCUGCAUGAUGUCGUCAGCUCCGGGCGUGAGGGUGUCGCUAAUGCCAUAACAGAGCGCAACCCUGUGUGUGCCGAUAUAUACAGGUUCUUCGCGUGAGAGACCUGGACAAGACUGCAAUCGGUAAAUGUGAGGAAGGUGGGGAUGACGUCAAAUCAGCACGGCCCUUACGUCCGGGGCUACACACGUGUUACAAUGGGGGGUACAGAGGGCCGCUACCACGCGAGUGGAUGCCAAUCCCAAAAACCUCUCUCAGUUCGGACUGGAGUCUGCAACCCGACUCCACGAAGCUGGAUUCGCUAGUAAUCGCGCAUCAGCCACGGCGCGGUGAAUACGUUCCCGGGCCUUGCACACACCGCCCGUC
This 1371-nucleotide ribosomal RNA is filed under the name uncultured bacterium. RNAcentral describes it as "partial 16S ribosomal RNA". It matches the Rfam family "Bacterial small subunit ribosomal RNA". The record is from RNAcentral.